AGUGAACGCUGGCGGCGUGCCUAACACAUGCAAGUCGCGCGUGAAAGGGUAGCAAUAUCCGAGUAAAGCGGCGAACGGGUGAGUAACACGUGGUUAACCUGCCGAGAUGUGGGGGAUACCCCGGGGAAACCCGGGCUAAUACCGCAUGAUGUCUUCCGGGCGUGGGCCUGGAGGAGCAAAGCCGGGGACCGCAAGGCCUGGCGCAUUUCGAGGGGACCGCGGCCGAUUAGCUAGUUGGCGGGGUAG
RNAcentral lists this ribosomal RNA (246 nucleotides) under uncultured bacterium. RNAcentral describes it as "partial 16S ribosomal RNA". It matches the Rfam family "Bacterial small subunit ribosomal RNA", at positions 28 to 260 of the family's 1533-position model. The record is from RNAcentral.